This 120-nucleotide small nuclear RNA is filed under the name Triticum aestivum (bread wheat). Its description in RNAcentral is "U2 spliceosomal RNA". It matches the Rfam family "U2 spliceosomal RNA". From Rfam's summary of the family: U2 is a small nuclear RNA (snRNA) component of the spliceosome (involved in pre-mRNA splicing). Complementary binding between U2 snRNA (in an area lying towards the 5' end but 3' to hairpin I) and the branchpoint sequence (BPS) of the intron results the bulging out of an unpaired adenosine, on the BPS, which initiates a nucleophilic attack at the intronic 5' splice site, thus starting the first of two transesterification reactions that mediate splicing. The record is from Rfam by way of RNAcentral. Lineage: Eukaryota; Viridiplantae; Streptophyta; Magnoliopsida; Poales; Poaceae.
AUAUUUUUCUUGACCUUUUGGCUAAAAUCAAGUGUAGUAUCUAUUCUUAUCAGUGUAAUAUUUUUUUUUGAACAAGUACAGAACCAAACGCUCAUACAUACGCGCAUACACUCACCCCUA